AACGAACGCUGGCGGCAGGCUUAACACAUGCAAGUCGAACGGGCACCUUCGGGUGUCAGUGGCAGACGGGUGAGUAACGCGUGGGAACGUACCCUUCGGUUCGGAAUAACCCAGGGAAACUUGGGCUAACACCGGAUACGUCCGCAAGGAGAAAGAUUUAUCGCCGAAGGAUCGGCCCGCGUCGGAUUAGCUAGUUGGUGGGGUAAUGGCCCACCAAGGCGACGAUCCGUAGCUGGUCUGAGAGGAUGANCAGCCACACUGGGACUGAGACACGGCCCAGACUCCUACGGGAGGCAGCAGUGGGGAAUAUUGGACAAUGGGCGAAAGCCUGAUCCAGCCAUGCCGCGUGAGUGAAGAAGGCCUUAGGGUUGUAAAGCUCUUUCAGCGGGGAAGAUAAUGACGGUACCCGCAGAAGAAGUCCCGGCUAACUUCGUGCCAGCCGCCGCCGUAAC
RNAcentral lists this ribosomal RNA (452 nucleotides) under uncultured bacterium. Its description in RNAcentral is "bacterial SSU rRNA". It matches the Rfam family "Bacterial small subunit ribosomal RNA", at positions 29 to 524 of the family's 1533-position model. The record is from RNAcentral.